AAUUUUUGCUAAUAAAAUAACCUCCGAUAAGAAGCAAAAAAGAAAGCAAGCAAGGAAACAAGGUCAAAGGGAUUCACGACACACAAAAGGCGAAGCACCAGCUUGGCAAUUUGCUUGACCGGUUGAAUCUCUGUGGUUUCUGGAAGUGGGAAUGUGUUAAGUGAAUAAAAAUAUGUAAAGCAUAAUUCAAACAAGGACCACAAUGCAUACGUACGUUUUGCCGCCCCUCAAAAAAGGCUUAUGAACAUUCCCAUAAAACGGAAUGUGUGCGCAUCAUAAACGGGUUGUGACGCCUCCUCUUCCCUUCCCUUCUCUUCAUGGUCCUGCGCUGCCGUGAUCCCGUGGUCAGCUUGACCAAGCGUGUGUGUGUGCGGCCUUGUUUAACCAGCGAUUAUGGAAAUUGUGAUACCGGGGGGAUGCCCCAAAGAUUUGUACUACCAGAUAGACCAAAUGACACGUAGCCCGGAGCUGGAGCUGGAGCUGGUCCGAAACCCGCAUAAAGUGGGCGACACCAUCUAAAAAAUAUUUGUUCACACAUGUGGGCUGAAUGGAUGGAUGGAUGAAGAAUGCCAGUGCCACAUGGCCCUGACUUUUAUGUUGACUAACCACCGGACGAUGGUCGCUGCAGUCACGUGUGCUGUCUUUUAUUUGUAGCUUUUUUUUUUGUUUCUUUUGCUUUCUGCCACUUGCCACACAUAAAUUGCAUUUGCUGAGGGGCACGCGGGGUGGCAGGGAUGAAAGGGAAUCUUUUGGUCAGUGCGAGACAACGCUUUGUGUUAUUUUAAGUAAAUCAGGUUCCGAGAUAUCAACGUCAAAUUGGCAGACAAGUCGAAACUUCAGCGAAUGAACAUAAAAAUAAUCAUAAACGUUUAUCACAUCGAAC
Drosophila albomicans is the source of this 883-nucleotide long non-coding RNA. RefSeq lists it as uncharacterized. The transcript is spliced from 2 exons. NCBI's taxonomy places the organism in Eukaryota, Metazoa, Arthropoda, Insecta, Diptera, Drosophilidae. The record is from RefSeq and is a predicted model, not a curated record.